This 253-nucleotide ribosomal RNA is filed under the name uncultured bacterium. RNAcentral describes it as "partial 16S ribosomal RNA". It matches the Rfam family "Bacterial small subunit ribosomal RNA", at positions 524 to 776 of the family's 1533-position model. The record is from RNAcentral.
UACGUAGGGGGCAAGCGUUGUCCGGAUUUAUUGGGCGUAAAGAGCGUGUAGGCGGUUUGGUAGGUCCGCUGUGAAAACUCGAGGCUCAACCUCGAGACGCCGGUGGAAACCAUCAGGCUAGAGUCCGGAAGAGGAGAGUGGAAUUCCUGGUGUAGCGGUGAAAUGCGCAGAUAUCAGGAAGAACACCCGUGGCUAAGGCGGCUCUCUGGACCGGUAUUGACGCUGAGGUGCGAAAGCGUGGGGAGCAAACAGG